AUUAAACGCUGGCGGCAUGCCUUACACAUGCAAGUCGAACGGCAGCACGGGGGCAACCCUGAUGGCGAGUGGCGGACGGGUGAGUAAAGCAUCGGAACGUAUCCUGGAGUGGGGGAUAACAUAGCGAAAGUUACGCUAAUACCGCAUAUUCUGUGAGCAGGAAAGCAGGGGAUCGCAAGACCUUGCGCUCUGGGAGCGGCCGAUGUCGGAUUAGCUAGUUGGUGGGGUAAAGGCCUACCAAGGCGACGAUCCGUAGCGGGUCUGAGAGGAUGAUCCGCCACACUGGGACUGAGACACGGCCCAGACUCCUACGGGAGGCAGCAGUGGGGAAUUUUGGACAAUGGGCGGAAGCCUGAUCCAGCCAUGCCGCGUGAGUGAAGAAGGCCUCGG
RNAcentral lists this ribosomal RNA (390 nucleotides) under uncultured bacterium. Its description in RNAcentral is "bacterial SSU rRNA". It matches the Rfam family "Bacterial small subunit ribosomal RNA", at positions 29 to 420 of the family's 1533-position model. The record is from RNAcentral.